This 406-nucleotide ribosomal RNA is filed under the name uncultured bacterium. RNAcentral's name for it is "partial 16S ribosomal RNA". It matches the Rfam family "Bacterial small subunit ribosomal RNA", at positions 30 to 526 of the family's 1533-position model. The record is from RNAcentral.
AUUGAACGCUGGCGGCAGGCCUAACACAUGCAAGUCGAACGCGUGGCGGACGGGUGAGUAAUGUCUGGGAAACUGCCCGAUGGAGGGGGAUAACUACUGGAAACGGUAGCUAAUACCGCAUACCAUCGGAUGUGCCCAGAUGGGAUUAGCUAGUAGGUGGGGUAAUGGCUCACCUAGGCGACGAUCCCUAGCUGGUCUGAGGGGAUGACCGGCGACACGGGAACUGUGACACGGUCCAACCGCCUACAGGAGGCAGCAGGGGGGAAUAUUGCAAAAUGGGCGAAAGCCUGAGGCAGCCAUGCCGCGUGUAUGAAGAAGGCCUUCGGGUUUUAAAGUACUAUCAGCGAGUAGCCGUUACUCGCAGAAGAAGCACCGGCUAACUCCGUGCCAGCAGCCGCGGUAAUUC